CUCCUACGGGAGGCAGCAGUAGGGAAUUUUCGUCAAUGGGGGGAACCCUGAACGAGCAAUGCCGCGUGAGUGAGGAAGGUCUUCGGAUCGUAAAGCUCUGUUGUAAGAGAAAAACGGCACUCAUAGGGAAUGAUGAGUGAGUGAUGGUAUCUUACCAGAAAGUCACGGCUAACUACGUGCCAGCAGCCGCGGUAAUACGUAGGUGGCGAGCGUUAUCCGGAAUGAUUGGGCGUAAAGGGUGCGUAGGUGGCAGAUCAAGUCUGGAGUAAAAGGUAUGGGCUCAACCCGUACUGGCUCUGGAAACUGAUCAGCUAGAGAACAGAAGAGGACGGCGGAACUCCAUGUGUAGCGGUAAAAUGCGUAGAUAUAUGGAAGAACACCGGUGGCGAAGGCGGCCGUCUGGUCUGGAUUCUGACACUGAAGCACGAAAGCGUGGGGAGCAAAUAGGAUUAGAUACCCUAGUAGUCCACGCCGUAAACGAUGAGAACUAGGUGUUGGGGGAAUAACUCAGUGCCGCAGUUAACGCAAUAAGUUCUCCGCCUGGGGAGUAUGCACGCAAGUGUGAAACUCAAAGGAAUUGACGGGGGCCCGCACAAGCGGUGGAGUAUGUGGUUUAAUUCGAAGCAACGCGAAGAACCUUACCAGGCCUUGACAUCCCUUGCAGAGAUAUAGAGAUAUAUCCGAGGUUAACAAGGAGACAGGUGGUGCAUGGUUGUCGUCAGCUCGUGUCGUGAGAUGUUGGGUUAAGUCCCGCAACGAGCGCAACCCUUGUGAUAUGUUACUAACAUUGAGUUGAGGACUCAUAUCAGACUGCCGGUGAUAAACCGGAGGAAGGUGGGGAUGACGUCAAAUCAUCAUGCCCCUUAUGGCCUGGGCUACACACGUACUACAAUGGCGUCUACAAAGAGCGGCAAGCCUGUGAAGGCAAGCGAAUCUCAUAAAGGACGUCUCAGUUCGGAUUGAAGUCUGCAACCCGACUUCAUGAAGCUGGAAUCGCUAGUAAUCGCGAAUCAGCAUGUCGCGGUGAAUACGUUCUCGGGCCUUGUACACACCGC
RNAcentral lists this ribosomal RNA (1055 nucleotides) under uncultured bacterium. Its description in RNAcentral is "bacterial SSU rRNA". It matches the Rfam family "Bacterial small subunit ribosomal RNA", at positions 336 to 1393 of the family's 1533-position model. The record is from RNAcentral.